AUGCAGCCAAGUGACCAGAUAUCGAUCUUCUUAUCAUAUGGAAGUCCCAAAAUAACUUCAGGUGCGCGGUAGGAUCUAGAUUGGACAUAAGAACAAAGAUGAUCGGUUUCGAAACAACUGCUUCCUAGAUCAAUCACCUUCACUUCACAUCUACUGUAGCUUUUCACCAAUAUGUUCUCAGGUUUCAAGUCACAAUGUAUAAGCCCAAGGCCAUGCAAAAACUGAAGAGCCUCCAAACAUUGUAUAGUGAUUGACUGCAGUCUUGGCAUGGUAAAGUAGACUUCUCCUCCAGAUUCUCUAUUAAAUUUAUGGAACUCGUAAAGAUUUGCUUUAAGGAGCUCACAUACAAUUAACAAAUGUUCUCGAUAAUAGAAGUAAUCAUA
RNAcentral lists this unclassified non-coding RNA (383 nucleotides) under Hevea brasiliensis (rubber tree). Lineage: Eukaryota; Viridiplantae; Streptophyta; Magnoliopsida; Malpighiales; Euphorbiaceae. The record is from RNAcentral.